This 72-nucleotide transfer RNA is filed under the name Ovis aries (sheep). It matches the Rfam family "tRNA". From Rfam's summary of the family: Transfer RNA (tRNA) molecules are approximately 80 nucleotides in length. Their secondary structure includes four short double-helical elements and three loops (D, anti-codon, and T loops). Lineage: Eukaryota; Metazoa; Chordata; Mammalia; Artiodactyla; Bovidae. The record is from Rfam by way of RNAcentral.
UCCCUGGUGGCUCAGAUGGUAAAGAAUCUGCCUGAAAUGCAGGAGACCCAGGUUUGAUCCCUGGGUUAGGAA